UUUUUGCUAUUGCAUACGAUAUACAUACAAAUAAAUAAAAAACUAUGUUCAUAGUCUUCCAACUUUGUAUAGACAUACUUGUUGUUUUUUUUUUUCUCUAUUUCAAUCUUCAAUAUUAGAAACUGUUUAUCCAAAACAAAUGAAUAAAAAUGAAAAUAUCAUAGAAAAAUCAAUAAUAAAUCAAAAGGGAAACAAACAAAAAAAAAAAAACAAAGCAAACUAAAAAUAGCAAGAUGAGGCUUAAGUCAUCGUCUUCGUCGGAACGACCAUCAGCCAUCACCCCCCACCGUUGUCCACUGUCGCGCGACCAUCAUCUGCCUCUUUGUCUUCCUCUCCUUUCCUUUCCUUCUUCCAUUCUUCUUUCUUCUUCCUUUCUUCCCUUUUAUCUUCCUUUUCUUUCUUCUCUAUAGCCGCCCCAUCUCUCUUUCUUUCUCUUUUUUCUCUCUUUUGAUUAAGGUUUAUAUAUAUAUAUAUAUAUACUAAAAGGAAGUUUGGGCUCGAAACCCAACAGUUUUUUUUUUCUCUUUGAUAGAUUUAACCCUUU
RNAcentral lists this long non-coding RNA (544 nucleotides) under Cicer arietinum (chickpea). RNAcentral describes it as "long non-coding RNA (CARI_LNC002672)". The record is from RNAcentral. Lineage: Eukaryota; Viridiplantae; Streptophyta; Magnoliopsida; Fabales; Fabaceae.